Sarcophilus harrisii (Tasmanian devil) is the source of this 333-nucleotide long non-coding RNA. RefSeq lists it as uncharacterized. NCBI's taxonomy places the organism in Eukaryota, Metazoa, Chordata, Mammalia, Dasyuromorphia, Dasyuridae. The record is from RefSeq and is a predicted model, not a curated record. The transcript is spliced from 3 exons.
UGAGCUGCAUAGGGUGAGCACUCCUAGAAAGGGAGAGGAGGCUGGUCAGAGGACUUGACAUCCAAGAACUUUAAUGAGUGUGUGUGUGUGUGUGUGAGGAAGAAGUAUCGAGGAAAAAAAUCAAGAGAAAGCAAAAAUCAUGGAGUUUAAUCAAAAAGGUCAAAAAGACAUAAAAGCAACGAAAACUAAAGGAAGAAGAUAGACAGAGGGCAAUCACUCACAGCAGAGGUCAGAAUGAGGGGCUAUCCUUGUGCCAGUGGUCUGUCUGCACGCCCAGAAUUUCCUUCUCUGAAAGCCUAUCUAGAUGUUUUCCUUCCUUUUCAUAAACUGGCA